This is a non-coding RNA of Tetranychus urticae (two-spotted spider mite), 3583 nucleotides long. NCBI's taxonomy places the organism in Eukaryota, Metazoa, Arthropoda, Arachnida, Trombidiformes, Tetranychidae. The record is from RefSeq and is a predicted model, not a curated record.
UUGUAUGCUAUGUGAUCAGUGAAAGACACAAAACCCCAGUGAAAAUACAGACUUUCGUGCGAAACACACUCAUUCAUCUAUAUUUUUACUUGUAUGCUAUGUGAUCAGUGAAAGACACAAAACCCCAGUAAAAAUACAGACUUUCUUGCGAAACACACUCAUUCAUCUAUAUUUUUACUUGUAUGGCUAUGUGAUCAGUGAAAGACACAAAAACACAUCAAGUAAAAGAUACGUUUUGCAAUGAAAACACGAUUAAAAUCAUUAAAUCUUUUCUAUCAAUUUUUCUCUUUCUGAGCACGACUUAGAAUUUACAGUCAGAACAAUUAGUUCAGUCUAGUUAUUUCCCUUUUAACAAAACUUUUGCAUAUCACUUCAUUCUUCUUUCAGCGUUCCAAGGAAUUUUCCAAGGAAAUUAAGCAGAUGAAAAAACUUUACACCACAUACUGCCACGGAGAUCGGAUUCUGAAAUGCAUGCUUUUUGCUUUCUCACACUCCAUAAAGAUCCGAAAAUCGAAGUGUAUUAUGCUUAAAAAAAAGAGGCUCGUUGGCACAUUGGCUAUCAGAGGACAGAGAAAAUCGACACGACGGCAGAAGUGAGGCAAGCCAGGAAAAGACCACACUCUUCUUUAGGUUCACAUAGUAGAGUUUAAAGGCAACGCAGUUUGUUGAUCAGUCCAACCACUGGCGCUCCUCAAAGAUUUGCGAUGAGUCUAGCCCCAGUCAACAGAUCAAUGAGAAGCUUACAUGCCAAAUCUACCUGUGCGCGAAGGUUGCUUGAAAAGAAAGGUAUUUAGGGAAUAAAAGGUGAAAUUAGAUUGAAUAGGAAUAGUAAUAUGUGAGUUUCUCUUGAUUAACAUUGAAACUAACACAAACCUUUACGACUAUGUAAGGAAUGAAUGAACCUUAUUCAACAGUUCCACUUGAUAAAGGUUAGCAAGUUAUUUAAUGUCAGAGGUGGAAUCAACUCGCGGAGGCGAGACUCAAAUGUUGCGUAUGAGAGAGCGCUUUUUUGUGAAAAUAAUGUUUUGACUCACAUAGACAAACCAAAAAGGAUCUCUGCGCAAUGAAGUGGGCUGAGCUUACUUGCCAAAACUUUCUUUACACCCUUUACAAAGAUAAACUUUUCGAACUAACCUUUUUCUCUUUUUCGCAGGAUUGCCGUAUCCUGUUAUCACAAUGCGAAAAAUGAGAAGUUUGUAAUUCCUGAAUUGGGUCGCAAAAAAUGUUACUUAUCGACAAUUUAAAGAUGCUAUCUCAAGCAUCAAGCAAGAAGAUUCAAAAUUUUAUUGCAAUUAUCCCUCCUGCAUGUUUUGUGAAUGAGGAAAAAUUCUUCACUGAAACUGAAAUUACGGUGACUACACACCUAUUACAAAAACACUGGGUGACUGGGCUGUUCAAAAUGCAAAAGAGGAAAUUCAUCCCUAUUGGAUCUUUUCAACCAUUAUUCAGAAAAAUUCUUGGAUAAAAGUAUUCAAUUUUAAAUUAACGAAAAUUCUCAAUAGAAAGCCAGGAUGAUUAUUGAUCAUCAUUACGAUUUUCGUGUUUUAAUACAACGAAAUAGUGUAAUUUUUCACACAUAUUCCAAAUACGCGAAAUUGAAUUGAAAAAAUGAAUUCGUUGACGUGUUGACGGUGAGUUGUCUGGAAAUUUCACAUGAAUGAAACACUUUUCACGUCAGGAUGGGCAAAGUUCAUUAAUUGUAGACGAUAAGAUAAACUAUUUUAAAUUCAAGCCAAAUUAGGUUUGAUAUUUUGUGAAUCCUAUGAAUAAAUAAAAGUCAAGUUGAUUAUGAUUUCAUUGAUCUGAUUUACGCGUCAAUGCUUUGUUCAUAAAUUAGUUAACUCGAUAUUUGAAAGAGUUUUUAUCGUCAAAUCAUCAUGAUUAUAUAAUAAUUUAUAUUUGGUAAAUAAAAAGUUUGAGUGAUGACUGUAAGUUGAUUCUUACAAUAAAUUUUAGCGGUUUAACAAUUCAAAGCCUUUCUUUUUCUGUUGAGAUUGGUGUUAAAAUUGGUAAAUACUAAUGUUGAUUAAAGGUUUUAUCAGAUAUUAAUUGUGCAGUUGACUUUUAAUUGAAAAACAUUGGAAUGAAAUAAAGCAUUAGAAAAGUUUUGGGUCGCAAUCCGUUUUUACUUGUUUACCUUGUCUCAAUUCAUUAACAUUAACCAUUUACUUGAAAUGCUAAUGGUUAAAAUGGUAAUUGAUUAUCAAAUCAAACAAAAAUAUGUGAGAUAAUCAUGAUAAGUAUAAAUAAUGAUUUACAAAGAUGAUGAGAUGGAUAAUAAUAAUAUAAUUAUGUUAUUUGUUGUUUUUUGCUUUCCAUCAGGACAAUUAUGGAAAUAAAACGGUAGGAUUUCCGAUAGGUGUUCAACUGAUUGUAAUUAAAUAAAAUCAUUAUCAUGAAAACGGAAAGUACUAUGAAUCUUGCCUGGAAAGAUAUUAAUGGUGAUGAUUAUGAUAUUAAUAGUUGUCAUCAGCAAAUUUAAAGGCGAGUGAUAUAAAAAUAAUGGUUGAUUCUUUUGCCAUCGCGUAAUAAUUUACUUGAAUUAAGAUGAUCCAACUAUUAAGGUUAUACCAUGAUUAUGUUUGUUGUCUUGAUGGCUGUAAAUUUUUCAAUCUUAGCUUUCCAUUUUCUUUUCAACAUUGGAAAUGAUUCAUCUGGAUAAAAUAAUAAUAAUAAUCAAUAAGCAGUCUGUAAGACAGCAAAAUAAGGAGUAGGAAAAGUAAUCAAAAAUUGACUAGGUAAAAAGAAGCAGCUAAGAGGGAAAAUAUAAGCAAUUGAAUCAGAAUUAUUCCAAGCGAUGAGAGAUCCAAUAGUCCUUAAUUCCUGUGAUUGUGGCUACUGGUUGUUUGUGAUUGUCUAGAUGCAAAUAAUAACCGUUGUUUACACAUCGAUUUGAUUAGAUAUGCAUCAAAGUCAUCAUAUGAAACAAGGAAAUUAAUGAAAUCCAUCAUCAUCAUCAUCAUCAUAAUCUAGUGAUUGUUACCCUAAUUCUUUGUAGUGUUCGUAUAUGAGUUGCAUGUGAUUCUUGAUCAAUCACAAUUCACGAUUAUCAUCAUCAGCAUUAUGUUGAAUCAACUGCAACCAAGCAACUAAGCUAAUGUUUACAAGGAAAUGUUUGGUGAACACAGAAAGGAAAAAAAUGCCAACAAAUAAAGGGCAUUAUCCUUUGAAUUAUCCACUGUAACUGUCAGAGUAGAUCAUUUUCCUUAAAUUUUCCCAAUUGAUACUUGAUUUAUAGAAAAGAGUUUAUUCAAAUUUCAGCGGAAUUACUUGUUGAUAUCUGAUGGUGGUAGCUUUGAUGUAAGGUGUUUCCUCUGUCUUCCUUUUACAUGUCUCUAUCUUUGUUCUUUCAAUUUAUCAUUUGUAUUUCUUUUCUUCAUCGCCCUGAGUAGAUCAUCAUGGUUUCAAACCAUUGCAAAUGCUUUUCAUCAGAUCUUCCUUUCGAUUGUAAUCGUAUUAAAGGCUGAAAAAUUUUCAUUAGAAACCAUAAAAUCAGGUUUGGCGUUUUUACUUUCCACACUUUGAUCAAUUCGUUUUUGUCCCAAUUGCCAUUGGUAAAACAUUUCCAAAAUUUUCAUUCAAC